Danio aesculapii is the source of this 758-nucleotide long non-coding RNA. RefSeq lists it as uncharacterized. The transcript is spliced from 5 exons. NCBI's taxonomy places the organism in Eukaryota, Metazoa, Chordata, Actinopteri, Cypriniformes, Danionidae. The record is from RefSeq and is a predicted model, not a curated record.
UUCUGUAAUUGUAGGAGGUCGCGGACUGCGCAUGCCUAUUUUCCGUAUUAGCAUAAAAGAAGAACAAGGGACUCUAGUUUUCUAGUAAUCUGCUGGUUUUGGGUCAUUGAGAACUAACUGUAUCAUAUCAUAUGCUGUUAAUGCAGAUCCUAUUCGACCGAUGUACAGUCAGGACCAUUGACUUGGGAAAUAAGGACCCCUGCCUGGCCACCACUGCGCUGUUCUUGGUGGUGAGAAAGAUGCUGACUGAUCUUCAAAUAAUUAACCAAUCAAUUAACUUAACGGACUAAAUAAAAUGCUUAGAGGUUCAUACAUCAGGGGACCUUUCAAAGUACGUGCAUGUUACCUUAAAUUGAGGAUGUCCUGCUGAAUUGAAUUGGAUUAACAAGUCUUUGUUGAAUGCCUCGUAAAGGAAAGAGAUCUGAAGCUCAAAAACAGCGUAGGAGAAACGAUCGAGCUUUGAUGUCGAACACUGUCCAGUAAUCUGGCUGUCAGGUCCUUGCAGUCGGGUCUUGCAACAUUUACAAUUAAAGGAUAAAAAUGGAGUACAAAGUGUACUUAAACGAAGAGGCACCAGUUUCAGCUGCCACAAAAAGGCAUCCAGCCAAACAGAUGGGAGUUGGAUUAAAAUAGAUAGCUGAAUUGACAUUUUAAUAAAUUAAAUAAAAAAGUAUAGAAAUAAAACGUAAAAGUGUACAGCCUGUUUGUUUGCAUAAAUGCAUAAUUGUAAUGGUUUAGAGUACUAAUUUAUUUUUAUA